AUCUAGAUGAUGAGUCCCAAAUAGGACGAAAUAAGCAUCAUGGAU
Molecule: non-coding RNA, 45 nt
Organism: Trichobilharzia regenti
Lineage: Eukaryota; Metazoa; Platyhelminthes; Trematoda; Strigeidida; Schistosomatidae
Source: Rfam